ACUCCUACGGGAGGCAGCAGUGGGGAAUUUUGGACAAUGGGCGCAAGCCUGAUCCAGCCAUGCCGCGUGAGUGAAGAAGGCCUUCGGGUUGUAAAGCUCUUUCAGCCGGAAAGAAAUCGUGCGGGCUAAUACCCUGUAUGGAUGACGGUACCGGAAGAAGAAGCACCGGCUAACUACGUGCCAGCAGCCGCGGUAAUACGUAGGGUGCGAGCGUUAAUCGGAAUUACUGGGCGUAAAGGGUGCGCAGGCGGCUCUGUAAGUCAGAUGUGAAAUCCCCGGGCUUAACCUGGGAACUGCGUUUGAAACUGCAGAGCUAGAGUGCAGCAGAGGGAGGUGGAAUUCCAUGUGUAGCAGUGAAAUGCGUAGAGAUAUGGAAGAACAUCGAUGGCGAAGGCAACCUCCUGGGCUAGCACUGACGCUCAUGCACGAAAGCGUGGGGAGCAAACAGGAUUAGAUACCCUGGUAGUCCACGCCCUAAACUAUGUCAACUAGUUGUCGGGUCUUAUUAGACUUGGUAACGUAGCUAACGCGUGAAGUUGACCGCCUGGGGAGUACGGUCGCAAGAUUAAAACUCAAAGGAAUUGACGGGGACCCGCACAAGCGGUGGAUUAUGUGGAUUAAUUCGAUGCAACGCGAAAAACCUUACCUACCUUUGACAUGUCAGAAAAUUUUCAGAGAUGAAUUUGUGCCCGAAAGGGAAUCUGAACACAGGUGCUGCAUGGCUGUCGUCAGCUCGUGUCGUNAGAUGUUGGGUUAAGUCCCGCAACGAGNGCAACCCUUGUCAUUAAUUGCCAUCAUUUAGUUGGGCACUUUAAUGAGACUGCCGGUGAUAAACCGGAGGAAGGUGGGGAUGACGUCAAGUCCUCAUGGCCCUUAUGGGUAGGGCUUCACACGUAAUACAAUGGCG
RNAcentral lists this ribosomal RNA (907 nucleotides) under uncultured bacterium. RNAcentral's name for it is "bacterial SSU rRNA". It matches the Rfam family "Bacterial small subunit ribosomal RNA", at positions 335 to 1235 of the family's 1533-position model. The record is from RNAcentral.